Molecule: ribosomal RNA, 335 nt
Filed under: uncultured bacterium
Lineage: Bacteria
Description: bacterial SSU rRNA
Rfam family: Bacterial small subunit ribosomal RNA
Source: RNAcentral
CCUGGCUCAGGAUGAACGCUAGCGAUAGGCUUAACACAUGCAAGUCGCGGGGCAGCAUGGGGGUUGCUUGCAACCCCUGAUGGCGACCGGCGCACGGGUGAGUAACGCGUAUCCAACCUGCCCUUCACCACGGGAUAACCCGGCGAAAGUCGGACUAAUACCGUAUGUUGUCCAUUUUCGGCAUCCGAUUUGGACUAAAGGCUUAGCGGUGAGGGAUGGGGAUGCGUCCGAUUAGCUCGACGGCGAGGUAACGGCCCACCGUGGCAACGAUCGGUAGGGGUUCUGAGAGGAAGGUCCCCCACACUGGAACUGAGACACGGUCCAGACUCCUACGG